Molecule: ribosomal RNA, 774 nt
Filed under: uncultured bacterium
Lineage: Bacteria
Description: bacterial SSU rRNA
Rfam family: Bacterial small subunit ribosomal RNA
Source: RNAcentral
AGAGUUUGAUCCUGGCUCAGGGUAAACGCUGGCGGCGUGCCUAAUACAUGCAAGUCGAACGGAGUUGGCGGAUCGCAAGAGAAGCCAGCUUAGUGGCGGACGGCUGAGUAACGCGUAGGUGACCUACCCCGAAGUGGGGGAUAAUCCUCCGAAAGGGGGACUAAUACCGCAUGUGGUCGUGCGCAUGGACGUGCACGAUUGAAGCCGCAAGGCGCUUUGGGAGGGGCCUGCGUCCGAUUAGCUAGUUGGUGGGGUAACGGCCUACCAAGGCGACGAUCGGUAGCUGGUCUGAGAGGAUGAUCAGCCAGACUGGGACUGAGACACGGCCCAGACUCCUACGGGAGGCAGCAGUAAGGAAUUUUCCGCAAUGGGCGAAAGCCUGACGGAGCAACGCCGCGUGGGCGAAGAAGGCCUUCGGGUUGUAAAGCCCUUUUCGGUGGAAAGACUCAGACGGUACCACCGGAAUAAGCCACGGCUAACUACGUGCCAGCAGCCGCGGUAAUACGUAGGUGGCCAGCGUUGCCCGGAUUUACUGGGCGUAAAGAGCGCGUAGGUGGUGCCUUAAGUUGGGCGUGAAAGCCCCUGGCUUAACUGGGGAGGGUCGUCCAAUACUGGGGUGCUUGAGGGCAGGGGAAGGAAGCGGAAUUCCCGGUGUAGUGGUGAAAUGCGUAGAUAUCGGGAAGAACACCAGUGGCGAAGGCGGCUUCCUAAACUGCUCCUGACGCUGAGGCGCAAAAGCUAGGGGAGCGAACGGGAUUAGAUACCCCGGUAGUC